This is a non-coding RNA of Aegilops tauschii subsp. strangulata, 1856 nucleotides long. The record is from RefSeq and is a predicted model, not a curated record. Lineage: Eukaryota; Viridiplantae; Streptophyta; Magnoliopsida; Poales; Poaceae.
CCGCCCCCUCCUCCAAGUCUGAACCUCCUGUAGGUUGCUCCUGUUUAGGUGGAGAAGCUCCACAAUCUGGAGCAGAGAAGCCCCCAAAUCGGCGGAAUCGGAGAGGUCCGAUGUGUCGGCGUAGCACCUCCGCGACGGCUCAACCCCGACCCCCUCGAGCACCUCCGUGGAAUCUCAGCCCUGGCGCCCCUCGAGCACCUCCGCGACGGCUCAACCCCGGCCCCCCUCGAGCACCUCCGCGGCGGCUCAGCCCCGGCCCCCCUCGAGCACCUCCUCGGCGUGCAGCUCAGCCCCAACCCCUCCUCGAGCACCUCCGCGGCGGCUCGGCCCCGGCCCCCUCACUCACCUCGGCGGCGGCGAUGCCCCGGCCCCGUCGCCAUCCGUGCGGUGCCCUCCACCCCAACCCCUCGUCCACUCCCUUGCGGUGGCCUGGUGAUGGAUCUCGUGGCCUUGUGGCGGACGACGGCGGCGAUGUAGCCGGUUCCCUCAGCGGCGGUGCGGCGCCGAUUCGAUCUGCUCUGCAGCGGGCGCGGGAAAGAACUGACGAGCCCGCCUAUUCCUCUUUUUCACCCGCAUCGUCUCGUCUCCAUGCCAAAACUGCUAGGUGUUGCAUUCUUUUACUUUGUUCGCUGAUAACCGUUGGAUGGAGAAAUAGCGGUGGAUGGGAGGGCGCAUGUUACGCCGUGACUGCCAAGAGGCAUGUCACCUGAUCCCAGUCCGACCGACCCCGCUGCGAGCAGGCCGGAGGCGGCGCCGAUGGGUCGAGCUCCGCCGCGGCGGGGGGCGACCGGGAGGGCAAGGGGACGCUGCCGCCCAAGGCCAUUCCUUCUCCUCCGAGCUCCGCGGGCAGCAGCAGCUCCUCCACCCCCUCCCUCGACUACACCGCCGCAUUCAGAGGCGGGGAGUCGAGCACCGCUGCGGGCGGCAGCAAGGCGCGGGUGACGUGGAGUGACCCCGCGGCGACGGAGACGAGGGAGGUGCCCAACGCGGCGGCGCAUCCAUUCGACCCCAAGCUGGUGUCCAGGCAGCGGCUGCUGAAAACGCAGGCGGCUGUAGAUGAGGAGAAGAGCCGACGGGAACAGCAGUUCAACUCGUUGCGUGCGGAAGAGGCGAUGCAUAGGAAGGAGCAGUCUAUUAAACAAUCAUCCAAGCAGUGGUUCGAUUCACCGAAAAAUAGAGGUCGUCCCACUUGCCGUAAAGUGGUCUUAUAAUAAUGAUGAUAAAAUUCCGUACCCUUUAUACGCUGAAUUUUCUGGAGAUAAUUCCCCCUUCUCCCCAAAAAGAGAGUGGAGUGAUAUAAGAGUUGUCAGGAGACUGCGAGGAUUGCGUUGGCAAGAGCGGGUUGCUGCUCGUACUCACUUCAGAGAGCUACGUGAUAGUCGGUGAGCAGCUAGAGGCAAGCCUACUUCUUUAUUCAUGUCAGCAAUGAAUAAAUUCAGGGUCGAGAAGGCUAAGGAGUACAGCGGCCGUUGCGCCGUUCCUGAAUAUCUUAUAUGUCCGUUGUCCGGUGAGCUCAUGACAGAUCCAGUGACAAUUGCUACAGGAAAGACAUUCGAGCGACACUUUCUGAAGGGCUGGUUCGAGAAGAAGGGACACAUUUGUCCUUCGACCAACGAGCCGGUGUCAAGCACAAUCAUCCGAAACGACCGCAUCCGAGGAUACUUAGAGGAGUGGAACGAAGUGUUGAAAGAAGAGUAGUGCUGAUAUGUGUGCUUGUCGAAUUACAAUUACAGUGCUGCUACUUUUCCGCUCGUUGGGAAAGAUUAAAAAAUCAUUAGUAGAAUUCUGCUUGUGGACUUGCUACUAAUUUCACAAUCCCAUAUGCAAAGAUUAGAUUACAUGUUUGCUACCCUCUA